RNAcentral lists this ribosomal RNA (253 nucleotides) under uncultured bacterium. Its description in RNAcentral is "partial 16S ribosomal RNA". It matches the Rfam family "Bacterial small subunit ribosomal RNA", at positions 524 to 776 of the family's 1533-position model. The record is from RNAcentral.
UACGGAGGGUGCGAACGUUGUUCGGAAUUAUUGGGCGUAAAGCGCGUGUAGGCGGCCUAGCAAGUCAGAUGUGAAAUCCCUUGGCUCAACUGAGGAAGAGCAUUUGAAACUGCUGGGAUAGAGUAUGGGAGAGGGUUGUAGAAUUCCCGGUGUAGAGGUGAAAUUCGUAGAUAUCGGGAGGAAUACCUGUGGCGAAGGCGGCAACCUGGACCAAUACUGACGCUGAGACGCGAAAGCGUGGGGAGCAAACAGG